This is a small nucleolar RNA of Ornithorhynchus anatinus (platypus), 138 nucleotides long. NCBI's taxonomy places the organism in Eukaryota, Metazoa, Chordata, Mammalia, Monotremata, Ornithorhynchidae. The record is from RefSeq and is a predicted model, not a curated record.
CCCCUCUCAGGGUCGCACUUGGAGAGUUUCCAGUACUCUACCAGUUUUGGGUGUGGGAGGGAGAGUCAAGCAGAGGCCUACCCGUUCCAUUCCUAGCUUGGCCAGUGGAUAACGAGUGGAAGACAAUCCGCUACAAGU